RNAcentral lists this ribosomal RNA (775 nucleotides) under uncultured Neocallimastigales. RNAcentral's name for it is "partial large subunit ribosomal RNA". It matches the Rfam family "Eukaryotic large subunit ribosomal RNA", at positions 22 to 639 of the family's 3401-position model. Lineage: Eukaryota; Fungi; Neocallimastigomycota; Neocallimastigomycetes; Neocallimastigales. The record is from RNAcentral.
GUACACGCUAGUGACUAGCAUAUCAAUAAGCGGAGGAAAAGAAACUAACAAGGAUUCCCCUAGUAACGGCGAGUGAAGCGGGAAGAGCUCAAAUUUGAAAUCUUAAAGGGUUUCCCUUUACGAAUUGUAGUUUAAAGAAGUGUUUUCUGUUGAGGUUUUGGUAAAAGUUCUUUGGAAUAGGACAUCAUAGAGGGUGAGAAUCCCGUAUUUGACCUUUACUUUCAACUUUGUGAUACACUUUCAAAGAGUCGGAUUGUUUGGGAAUGCAGUCCAAAAUGGGUGGUAAAUUUCAUCUAAAGCUAAAUAUUGGCGAGAGACCGAUAGCGAACAAGUACCGUGAGGGAAAGAUGAAAAGAACUUUGAAAAGAGAGUUAAACAGUACGUGAAAUUGUCAAAAGGGAAGCGUUUGACACCAGUGUUGUUUUUCUGAAAAUCAAUUAAAGAACUGUUUAUGCUAAGCUGUUUAGACUUUAUCAGCUAUCUGUUUAGUUUUGAGCUUUUCUUUAAUGCACUUUUCAGUUAACAAGUCAACAUCAAUUUCUUUUGCUGUAAAAAAGCUUGAGGAAGGUGGCUUGAGAUUCGUCUUAAGUGUUUAUAGCCUCUUGCCUAUGCAGUCGGAGAGAUUGAGGUCUGCAGCGUAGAUCCUUCGGGGCUAAAUGCAUUUGUGCUAAGUUAUAGCAUUUUAUAGACAACUUGUUGACUAUGAUUUGUCUUGUAGCUUACUCGCUUAUGUUAUUUUACCUACGCUUAGGAUGUUGACGCGCGUGUGUGCGUG